GAUUCCCUGAGCUCAUACUGUGUCCUUUUCUCUGUAAAGGAUGGUGGUGGGCAGAAUUGGGACCUUGCCCUGUAGCAUCCAUGUCUUGGCUGAGUUGAAGAAGAAGGCAGAAGUUGUGUUCGGGGAGCCUUCUGGAUGGACCAGCUCUGUCUUGCAGGAGCUUGGGACCAUUGCAGAAGCGCCUGUCUCCCGGGGCCUUUGGUUUGGCUGCUCCCUGCUGCUUCUCAUGGCCCAGACCUGGUGGUGAGUGGCUUGAUGUUCAGCCCAUCCCUGUCCAGAGCAGGUGGCCGAGCCGUAUGGAGACAAAGGAUGCUUCUGACUGUGCCAGACCUUGGCCUGGACUCAGAGCCUCAACGAGGGCAGUGAGACCCUGGAGCCUUGACAUUUAAAAGGCACCAAAAGAAAAAAGAAUUAUUUAAAAUGAUCUAGCAAGUUCUUAAAGUCAGCCUGUCUACCCAGCAGGGAGCCCUUUUCUGUCCUGUGUUAGCCUCCUUUGUUUUCAGCCUCGAGUUGGGAGAAGCUGUGGGGAAAGAAAGGUGUUUUCUGUUAACAGCAUGAAGAUCUUCCGAGUCGCUGACCUCCCUUGCUCCCUUCAGAGAGCUAGAGGUGGGAGGAGGAGAAGAUACCCUUUUAGCCAGUGCUGAGUCUGGUUUCUACUCUAACUUAAUUUCAUUGCCUCGGAGCUACAGGCUGCAUUGGAUUUCUCCUUUGAUACUUAGCUGUGUUGAAAUAAAUGAAUCCCUCAACAGGAG
This 752-nucleotide long non-coding RNA is filed under the name Fukomys damarensis (Damara mole-rat). RNAcentral describes it as "lncRNA (ENSFDAG00000022832.1)". Lineage: Eukaryota; Metazoa; Chordata; Mammalia; Rodentia; Bathyergidae. The record is from RNAcentral.